ACAGUGGGUGAAAAAAGCGGAAGGGGCUUGGGGAAAGUGGGGCUCUAUCUCACCCGGAGGCCGGGGACAGAUCUCCGCUCCCUUACUUGGCCCUGCUUGCUGCGGACGCAAGGCGCCCAACGCCGCGGCUCACUCACCUGGAGCACUGAUGCGGGGUCACACCGCCGCGCGCGGGUGGGAGCGGACGCGGCUUCGGUCCCAGGCGCGGCCCUGCACCCUGCCCUCUGGUUGGGUGAGAGGGGACCGUUGCGCCGAAGAACCAGACCUUAGCCCUUUUGCGCCAGCUGACUCACCCCUCCACCAGGAAUGUCUUUAAGCUCCUGGCUGGCUAUCACUUUACCUGGAGAUUUUUGAAAUGAAGAGUGAAAUAGGAAAAAAAAUUGCAGCCAAUCAAUAACUCCACAGUCACCCUUUUAAUAUUCAGCUCCCUACACCAGCAAAGAACGGCAAGGAACUUUGCAGCUCUCGCUGACGUAACACGGGCAGUAGCCCCUGCUAGUACCGUAAUCUCCUGCUGUUACCGUAUUGCUCUGCAGCAACAAGCGUGAGUAUAUUGCUGUUUAACACAGUAAGUCCAUGUUACAAAGAAGAAACACCAAACUGUUUUCCACAAUGGCUCACCACUUUACAAUGCCAUCAGAAAUGUAAAAGGUACCAGUUUCUCCACAUCUUGAUCAUCAUCCUAGUGGGUUACAAAUGGUAUCUCAUUGUGGUUUUGAUUUGCAUUUUCCUGAUGCCCAGUGAUGUUGAGCACCUUUUCAUGUGUUUAUCAGCCAUUUGAAUACCUUCUUUGGAGCAAUGUCUAUUCAAGUCAUUUGCCCAUUUUUAAAUUGGGUUAUUUGUCUUUUUGUUGUCAAGUUGUAGGAAUUCUUUAUAUUUUUUGGACAUUAAACCCUUCUCAGAUAUAUGGUUGGCAAUUAUUUUCUCCCAUUCUGUUUUCACUUUUUAGUUAAUGUCCCUUGUUGUACGAAAGUUUUAAAUUUUGAUGCAGUCAAUUUUAUCUAUUUUUUCUUUUGUUGUUUGUGCUUUUAGUGUAAUAUCCAAGAAAUCACUACCAAAAUUUCUUCCCUAUGUUUUCUUCUAAGAGUUUUUUGGUUUUAGUUCUUAUAUUUGGCUGCUCGACCCAUUUAAAGUUAAUUUUUGUAUAUAGUGUGAAGUAGGAGUCCAACAUCAUUCUUUUGCGAGCAGAAUCUUGUUUUCCCAGCACCAUUUGUUGAAAAUACCAUUUUCCCCCAAUUAAUGCAUUUGGCACCAUCUCAAAAAUCAUUUGCCUACAGUUCUACCACUUUUAAGUUGCAUUUUUCUUGGUUUGUCCCUCACCCAAUUACUUCAACCCUUGAACUCUGAGAAUGGUGAUUCUGCUAGUUUUUGCAUGCUUUUCAAAAAUUCUGCAGGGGGAUGGAACUCUGGAGCAUUUCAUUCUGCCACCAUAAUGAUACCACCAUUUAUGUGUAUUUUUGAGCAUUUAAUAAAUGGAACCAUGUAAUAUACAUUAA
Molecule: long non-coding RNA, 1496 nt
Organism: Choloepus didactylus (southern two-toed sloth)
Lineage: Eukaryota; Metazoa; Chordata; Mammalia; Pilosa; Megalonychidae
Exons: 2
Source: RefSeq, a predicted model, not a curated record